RNAcentral lists this ribosomal RNA (465 nucleotides) under uncultured bacterium. RNAcentral's name for it is "partial 16S ribosomal RNA". It matches the Rfam family "Bacterial small subunit ribosomal RNA", at positions 338 to 795 of the family's 1533-position model. The record is from RNAcentral.
CCUACGGGUGGCAGCAGUGGGGAAUAUUGCGCAAUGGGCGAAAGCCUGACGCAGCGACGCCGCGUGAGGGAUGAAGGUCUUCGGAUCGUAAACCUCUGUCAGCAGGGAAGAACGGUCACUGUGCUAAUCAGCAGUGAAUUGACGGUACCUGCAAAGGAAGAACCGGCUAACUCCGUGCCAGCAGCCGCGGUAAUACGGAGGGUGCGAGCGUUAAUCGGAAUUACUGGGCGUAAAGCGCUCGUAGGCGGGAUGGCAAGUCAAGGGUGAAAUCCCCGCGCUAAACGUGGGAACUGCAUUUGAAACUGGCAAACUGGAGUGUGUGAGAGGAUAGGGGAAUUCCAGGUGUAGGAGUGAAAUCCGUAGAUAUAUGGAGGAACAUCAGUGGCGAAGGCGAAUAUCUGGAACAUAACUGACGCUGAGGAGCGAAAGCGUGGGUAGCAAACAGGAUUAGAUACCCUAGUAGUC